CUCUAAUAUCCUCAAACUUCUCAAUAUAAUCACAUUCCAUACUUAACCUCAAAUAAUGUCAAUUUGAAUAUUAAAUUACUAAAAUACCCUUGAAUUAAAAAUUAUCAAAAUACCCCUAAAAUCAUAAUUUACCAAUUUAACCUCAAAACCAUAAAUUAACAACUUAUCCUCAAUUUCAGCAAUUACUAAAAUACCCACAAAGUCUGGAAUUACAAAAUUGCCCUCAGAGUGCGAAAUUACUGAAAUGCCCUUGCCGACCGACGGUGACCGGGAUUCAACCGAUGGCGACGGGAAGCUCAGGUCUGAAAAUUAUGGCCACGCUGAGUCCAACGGUGGCAACGGUGACUUACCACGCGCAGCGACGGCACCGAAAUCUAGCUCGGAAACCGCGAAUGCUUAAGUGGCCGAUCGGCGGCAAAACGACGUCCCCAACGGCAGUGGAUGGCUGGAAAUGGCAGAGGGCAUGGUGGGGAACAAAACCCAAGUGGUAGCGUCACCGGAAACCGGCAAAAUCGCGGCGAAUUGGUGCGGCGAUCCUGCGGCUUUUCACGGUGGCUUUCCGGACAUAUUCCGGCGAUAAGGAUGGCAUGGAGAUGACCGGAAUCGCAGGAGCUUCCGAUCGGUACCAACCUUAGCUGGUGAGGUGGCAGGAACUGCGAGAUCCGGUCGGGUUACGUUCGCGGGUCGGGUUGACCCGAUUCUCUUUUCCCCCUCUCUCCCCCCGUGAGCUUUUCUUCCCUCUCUCUUUUUGUUUUUUUUUCUCUCUCUCUCUCUCUCUAUUUGUAAGGGUGUGGGGGUAUUACACUCCAUUUGAUCCCCAAGAAAUUCAAAUUAAAAGUUGAUUUUUGUGACACAACUUGUACAGUUCACACACUUCAACAGAAAAAAGAAACGAAAUACUACAGUGAACAAUAAAUUUGUGGGCUACUCCUUCAACAUGGUGGCAUAUGUUCGGCGGAGGCAGCAUUUUUGCUUUUGCACAUCUGCCAUUUUUCACAAUGAAUGCCAUUUGCAAGCCCCAGCUCUGAUGACGGUCUAAAUGGCAGUGGACGAACCAUGCUCCUGUUAAUAAAUACCAAUAAUAUUAUUGUUGACAUAAAUUUUUACUUAAUGUACAAUGAUUGAUUUGUAUUUUGAACUUUUUUUUUAAAUCGAGUUCUGUAAUUUAUUUUUUUCUUAAAGCAAGUGUCUCAAAUCACAUGUUUUCUCGUGAUUAAUUGUUCUGAAAAAAAAAAAAAAUUAUCAAAGGGUGCCCAUAUGCCGGCGAUAACUCUCUGACGCUCAAUUUAAUUUUUUUUACUUAAUUUUUAAAUAGAGAAAAUCAAGAGUGAGAUGGACUGAGUUUUUCUAACUCAUUUGGUGCCAUUUAUUCUCUUACCUUCAAAUGGGGGGAGGGGGGGUCUUGGCCUUUAUAUAGGCAAUUUAGAGUCGAUUGGAGAGGUUAUGCGGCACUUUUCUUGUGACAAGUGUCAGUCAAAACCCAUGCAUGGAAACACAUAUUCAUAUGUAUCAAUGCUUGCUCAUAACAAGUAAUCUUUGGACAUUUGCAUGUUUUUGGACCAUUAAUCUUUAAUGAAUUUUAGCUUAAAUUCGGCACUUAUAUUGACUCCUUACAAAGAGAAUUGAUUUUGUAACAUUUUGCCCGUAAGCGCAUUCCGUAAAAUAUUUGUUAGGUAGUAGGCUCAUUCCGUAGAAUGCUUAUUGGCAUGUUCGCACAUUUUAUAAGAUGCAUAUAUCUGCCCGUAGGUGCAUUUUCGUAGAAUGUAUAUUUAUCUGUAGCCGCAUUCCAUAUAAUGUAUAUUUAUUCGUAGGUGUAUUAUAUAGAAUGUGCAUUUGUCUGUAGGCCCAUUCCAUAAAAUGUGUAUUUGUCAUAGGUCCAUUCUAUAGAAUGUAUAUUUGUCCAUAGGCGCAUUCAGUAGAAUACUUAGUAGCUCGUGCGCUCUUAUUUGUAAAUAAUGGAUCUAUGUCAUUCUUUAUUGAAUAAUGUCUUUGGCAAUUUGUCGAAAACUCGCACUUUGAGCAUUUUACUUAAAAAUAUUUUCUAAGUUUCUAAGUCAUUCUUUGUAAGGAAUGGACUUAGGUCAUUAUUUAUAACCUAAAUCAUUCUUUAUAAGAAUGGACCUAGGUCAUACUUUAUAAAGAAUAGACUUAGGUUUUUCUUUGAUAAAUCACGCUUUUGGCGUUUUGUCAUAUCUUACAUUUAGACACUUUAUUUAGAAUUGUAAGUACCUUGAUUGUUCUUAUAGAUAAUAGGCCUAGGUUAUUUUAUGUAAAAUAUUUUUAUUGGGCCUAUAUUUUUUGUGGGUUUUGGGUCUUUCAUAAUUUGGUCUAACAAUUAUGAUUAGUUAAUGACAUUGUUAUUGAAAAUUUCCUCGACUUUAAGAGUUUCCAAAAAAAAAACAAAAUAUUGCUAGGGUGGUGGGGAUAUUUUCAGCCUAAAAAUUUAUGUAAACACACUCUAUUUUAAAAAAUUAUUUAUAAAAAUUUCACUUUAUUUUUUAGAAAUUAUAAUAAAGAAAAAGCUUAAAUAAUUAAUCAAUUAAAUCUGUUUUUGUACAUAAGUCUCUUGACCAUUUUUUAUCACUAAGGUUGUGUAAUAUAAUUUUAAUUUAAUUGUUUUAUCCUUAUAAUAUAAAAUGACUAAAUUAUCUAAAAUAUGUGCUCUUGUACCUUAAGUUAAAACUAUUAACGAGGAUUUAAUUGUUUAAUUGUUCAAAAUUCUACUUUAUUUGAUAUUAUUAAAAAAUAAUAUGAUCUGUAAUAGUUAUUUAUUUGAAGUGGGAUGGAUUACGCAAUGUGUGCGGGUGGAGAGAUGCAUUGGUGACGAUAUUUUUUAACAUUAUUAUAACUCCAUAAUAUUUGGAAGAAGGGAAGAAUAUUUCUCUACUUAACAAGCUUUCCAUAUUGAUCAAAUAAGUCCAUGAUUUUUAAGUAGGAAUAGGAAUAACAAUAUUAACCAUGCACAAUGAAAAAUAAUGCCGCAUACCCGGAUCGUUUGCUGUGAAUCUAAUGGCAGCCCAACAUUCUUAGGCACCAUAAUUGUAUUCUGAAGAGGAGGUUCAACAAAAUUAAAUCUCUUAGCAUCCUUAGCUCUAUCAAAAUUACCAAAUCCCCCACCCACCACAUAAAAACUGUAACCAUGCAAAUGCAUUGGAUGAUCAGUCCCUGCCAGCAAAUCUGUCCCCUGAAAAACAAUCUCCACCGCCGUAUUAUACUCAAGUACUUUCACCUCAAUCCGUGGCCUUUCUCGGCACGCUUAAAUUCAGCGGCAGAUUAUCCGCCGUGAAAUCGAAGAAUAGAGGAGGCUUUGCAGGGAAAUUAUCACUGUAUAUGCCGCUAACACGGUUAUAUUAAGCUUUUAAAAUGUCAGUGUAUGGGGCAGCAAAGCUUAUGUUACUAAUACUAGAAGCAAGCACGUGUCUUUGUCACAGGGCAAUGAGUUGACAGAAAUUGUGAAAAAUAAUUUCUUGUUUAACUUUUUGGGCACGUUAUAUUUGUGAUGGUCACUGUCUAGGUGUCUGAGGUAGUGAGGUUUUGUAAGAAAUUAACGGAAGCUUUUGUGUCAUCAUAAGAAGGAAGAUUUGGCAAAGGAGUUUUGGAAGAUGGGUAAAGUCCCUCGUAUUGGACAAUGGCAGUGGUGGUGGUGUUGUCGUCAUAGACGUCGGUGGCGCUGGAAUGAGCCUUGGCUGCCAUGUAAUAUUUGUUUGGAAUUUGGUUAGCUUUUAUCAAGACGUCAAUGAUUUGUCCUGGUGAAAUUGUCAGGUAUUCUACUUAAUGGCUUGGUGUAGCUGCCGUCGACUCCCACAAUUGUGAGCUCAUGUUUUGCGACAGCGAAGGAGACGGGGUCCUCCAGGCCGGCGUUGAUCAUGCGGAGGAGAUUAUAAGUCUUGCCCAAUUCCAUCAGUAACUUGAAUGUGUCUUUAAGAAAGUUGAAAGUAAUGGUGAAAAAUAUAUAUAAUCAAGUAAAACAAAGUUGUAAUUGGGGAGAAAAAAAAAAAUCUGAUGUGUGAAGGCCUAACAUUUUCUAAUUACAUUUUAAAACAUACCAACAUAGGUAAUAGAGAAUCGCCUAAUGUUGAAACUUUGUAAUCAAUCAAAGUUUAUGAAUAAAGAGGAAAAACAAUGCAAUUUGAAGCAAAAGAUAAGAGGAAAAAAAUGAUUAAAAAAAUCCUUGUUAUUGCAGUAAAUUAAUUACUUUCUAAUUUUCUCCUGUUUCAGAAUCCAUCAAACCCUCAAUACCAUUAAAAUAAUGCUAAUUUCCAACUUUUAUGUGUUGAAAAGUUGACAAUUUUUUAAUCGGGUGGGAGGUUCUUAAAUAAGUUUCGAACAUGAGGAAAAUUAACUAAUUUACAAAAACAACAAGGGGAGUUUUGAUCAUUUUCUUCACAAAGACAUUAGGAGGGAUUGAAAAAUCCAUACCUAAUUUUGAACUAAGAAAAAGAUCAACGGGUAGCUGUUAAUUGAGAUAAGCAUCUGAAACAUUAGGAUUUGUUCCUGAUUUGAUGAAUUGAUCAUAAAUCUCGAUCACGUCUUUCUUUCAUCACUCAGCCGUGCAUUAUUUUUAAAGAUUAUGGGUUGAAAUUAAUGAAAAUAAUACCCAAGAUGAUGGGCAUUUCAUCAUGAGGCUUGGGAAAAUGAUAAUAAGUUCCCUUCUUAGGAUAAACAACAAUGGCUCCAUGAACCGUUGUUCUUAACCAAUCACUAUGAGCAUGCCACCAAAUGGUUCCUUCUUCUGAAGAAAAUUUGACUUUUUGGCUAAAUUUUUUCUCCAGGUUUAAUAGGACAUUGUGUUAUAUAUUCAGAACCAUCCCCCCAUGGGUUCCUUGGCUGUUUCACUCCGUGCCUACAAACUAAAUCUUGUAAAUGAAUUUUUUUCACACUGUUCCGAGAUUGUAGCAAUAUAUAAAGUAUUUAUCUAGUGCAGAUAUAUUUUCAUUUUUUAAACAUUUGGACAAAAAUAAGAGAUAAAACAUACCAAGUACAACUAAAAGAUCCCAAAAGAAAUGCAUGGUAGACGUUUGCACUGGCCAGAUAAAUCAAUAUACACAAGAGGAGAGUAGAGAGAGGUAUUUGCGCACCAAUGUGAUGUUAUGUUUUAAUUGGCUUUGUCGUACACAUCAACUAUAAUUGCACCACCCUUGUGGGCGUACAAAGUUGGCUCAGGGAACUGUCCAUUUUGGGUCAUUAUUUUCUUUGUGCGGCAAAGCCUUGUGUAUGGAACAUCCUCAACCUGAAAGGAAUGGGUUAUUUGCAGGAUUAUGAUCGUUAUUGGACAACAAAUAAUUACUUACCUCAAAUUUGUGACAAACCACAGAUGGGCAAUGAAGGAAGUAACUCGUCAAUAACAAAAAUCCCAAUAUAUGGAAACCUGAAAUUUUCAUGAUUGGCAACAUUUUUCAGCAAAUAAAUAACUCAUUUUGUUCAAAUUUGACGCUAUGAAUGCUUAAAUGAGACUAGCUGUUAUCAUAUUUAUAGAUGAAGCUUUUAUAAAACGAUAAAAGUUGGGUAAAAUUUUUCUUCAUUUGUCAAUAUCAAACAUAAAGUAAGCACCAAAAUAUAUAACCAACUUCAAAUCCAAAGACGGAUAUUUUGAACUGCCGAAAUUCUGCGCUUGCCAGACAGAAGCUUCAUUUUCUUUAAAAGCAAAGGCCAAGGAAUGAAGAAAAGACUGAUACAAAGUUUUAUUACCGCAUUGGAAUAAUAUGAUGACGUUUAUUGUUAUUUUAUGUGAUUCAAUGAGAGAUAAUAUUGAUUAAAAACUAAAAGACGUGGAUUACACUACUGCUUUAUUGUAGAAUUGAUUGCUCUUAUUUGCGUUUUUGUAAAAAUAAAGCAGAAAAAGAAGAAUCAUAAUAAGAUGGCAAUUGUAACACUCCAGUGUGAGGGAUGUAAGCAUUAUGAGACUUUUGUGGUGGAUCUGAACGAAGCCGAAAAUAUGAUAUAAUGUAAGAGCAGAUUGUUCUAGUAAACAGGAGCUUGUUACUUUAUAUUAUUACGUAAGUUACAUAACUUUUUUAUAAUUAUUUGAUAAAAAUCUAACAGUUAUAGAAAUAUAAGAUAAUAAAAUUAUAUUUUUUUCAUAACCGUUAAUUUUUUAUCAAAUGAUUGUGGAAUAAUUAUGUACUUUACAUAAUAAUGUAAGGCGACUAAAGCCCAAUAAAUAACAUACUUUCAUUAAUAAAAUGAAAAUUUUCAUUGUAGUAACAAAAUUGGAAUAUUACGACUUCUCCAACUUUAACCGUCUUAACAAAAUUGGGCCAAGUGGACCAAUUAAUUGGCAAGAGGACCGAAUAGAUAUUAUUUUUGCGUGUAAUUUUGGGUUCUUUAUAUUACACGCAAACAACAAACACUGAGAAAUUGUUGGGGAGCACUUUGGGUCCAUAUGUAUCCAAAUCUAGCUAAUAGUUACUUUCCACUAAUCAACUAUUCGAUAAAUGGGCUAGUGUAUUGACACAUAUAAAAGUCACAUCUAUAUAUAUUCAUAAAGUUGGAAUUUGAGGAAGUGGCGUGGCAUCACUAUUUCUCAUCUUUAUAUAUUUUUUAUUAUCUAAUAAAUAAAGAAAUUUUCUUUUAGAUUUAGUUUUUUAACUUCUCACAAUUAAUUUGAUUGUUAUUACACAAUAAUAAUUAUGUAAAGGUUUUAAUGAGACAUAUUCUUUGUAAUGAACAUCCAAGCGGGAGUGUUAUGAAUUUAUUAAAAUAAAUGCAUAUGUUCAUAACAUAUAUCUCUUAGUCUCCCAAUUAUCUCUCAUUAGCAACAUUUAGCUUCCCUAUAACUCCCACUAUCUCACAAUGAAUUAUGAUCCAUAAUUUUUCAUUAAUUUCAUGGAGUGAUUAUAUAACUAUAAAAAGAGAGCUCAUCUUUUUAUUUUGUACACACACAAUUGGAAUGAAUAAAAUCACUCUAUAAUAUAUUUUCUUAUUUUAUUCUUUAUCUUGCGUUGCUUCUUUAUUUGUAUUGCUGGCUAAUAAUUAUUUUUUAUUUUUUAUAAGGUUGUCUCAUCUUAAAAAAAAAUCAAUUCAUAUUUUUUAUUAGUAAAAAAAAAUAAUAAUACUAAAUUCUUUUUUUAAAGCCGCGUGAAGCGCAGUUCUAUUUUCUAAUGUCUAUAUAUAUUUCAAGCUUUAGAUUAUAUCAAUUAUACAACGCACAUUUCAACAAGUCUAUUCCGAUUUCUUGUCUCACGAAUGACAUGUCGGUAGAAAACAAAACGAUAAAUAACGGACCAUCUAAAGUCUCUGUGUCAAUUAAAAUAUUAUUAUUGUUGACGUGUUAAAAAAAAAAUGAAUGCAAAUUCUCUUUCCCCACGACAUUUUCAAUUGGAAAAUGCUUAACAACUUGACCCAACUAAAUGAAUGGAUUUUCUCAUGUUAACAAGGGGUUAUGUCUCUAUUUGGGGUUUCUUUGAAUAUUUUUGUACUUCAAAUUUUAUUUUUUUCCUGUACUUUUCUUCAAAUUUUUUUUUUAUAUUAAUCUUCAAAUUUUAUUUUGUCAGCUGUGACGUUAAAGUUUCCUUAUGGAUGAAACUUCAAAAGUCUCAUGUUUCCAAGGUUCUCCGAAAUUAUUCCUUUCUUAAAUGAUUUGUUGUAAUAAAAUGUUUCUCAAUGUGUAAAGCUGAAAUUGGAAAUUUCCAUCAUCCCACCGCUCGAAAUAUAAAUAUCAUAUCAUUUUAUAGGAAAAAAAAUUAAUAUAAAUGCUCAAUAUUAUUAAUUGUGAGGCAUAUAUUUAAAGAAAUUAUGUUAUUUUCGCAUUGAUAUUUCUUAUAAAAGUUCAUGUGAUGCAUUACCACAACUUUUGAAAUCUAAAUUGUUAAGCCUAACUAAUAGAGAGUUCUUAAGGGUGAAAGUAAUUCCUUUUUUUUUUUAACUGCGAAGACAGUAGAUUCGUAAGAUCAAUUUGCAAGCUUCAGGAUUUAAUUUACAUAAAUUGCUUCAAAACUAAUAAAUUUAACAAGGAGGCACGUCUGGUGGUGGAGGUAGCAAUCUUUCUUGGGGUGAUUCUCCGUUCUUUACAAUGAAUACCGUCUUCAUUCCCCAUGUAAGGUGCUCCUCUCUAUGGCAGUGCAUAAACCAGACUCCUGUACCAUCAUGAUAAUAUUUAUUAUUAUAACCAUUAUAAUGAUAAAUGUUAAUGAUGAUGAUGAUGAUGAUGGGAACUGUUAAGACUGAAGAGAAAUUGCUUGACCAAAAAUAUAAACUAAUAGGUAAAAGUUCUUAGUAAGUUUCUCAUGUAAAAUGUGUCAAUCAAAAAAUUUAGAUAACCUAUUGAGGGGGCCAUGGCCCUGCCAUAGAAAUUUUUUAAUGCUAUAGUAUGAAAAGAUAUUUUCUUGUAAUAAAUUUAAUUCGACUUCAAAUUUGGAUUUUUUUUUUUAUAUGUUGGCCACUAUUAUUUAUCAUUUACUGCAAAAUGAUCCUAUGCAUUUCUGAAAAUUUUCAUUCAACGCGUCCUUUCCUAUACUUUUGUAUCAGUUAUUAUUUAUGACACAAUGACCCACAGAUUAAAUAUUAUGAUUUCGCCACCGGGAUACAAACACGAGACCUUCAUUCUAAUACUUUGUUAGAAAAUUUACUUGACCUAAAAGCUUAAGUUAUCAGCAAGGAUCCAAAUGGUAGAGACAAGUCUUAAUAAGAUCGAAGACAAGGAAGAAUCAAAGAUGAUGGUGAUGAGUGACGACAUACAUACAUAUAAUGAUGUUGAAGAAUAGUGCUGCUUACCAGGAUUGCUUGCCCUGAAUCUGACUGUAGCCCAGCCACUAAUAGGCACAUCCACUAUGGUCCGGAGAGGAGGAUCAAUCAGAUUAUAAUUUAAUGGGUCUUUUUCUUCGUCAAAAUUUCCGAACCCAAAUCCAACAACAAAAAAACUGUAUCCAUGCAAAUGUAUUGGAUGACUUGUCCCAGCAACCAAGUUUGUCCCUUGGAAAUUUAUCUCCACAGCUGAAUCAUAAUCCAAUACUUUCACUUCUGUCCCUUGUUCUGGAAUCUGUAAGAUCAUGGGCAAAUCAUCUGCUGUGAAGUUAAAAAAAUAUGGCGGAAAGUCUGGAAAAUUCUCUCCAUAAACCCCAUUGAUGCGAUCGUAGUAAGCCUCAAGUAUAGCAAUUGAUGAUGGCUCAACAAAACUUUGGUUGUUCAAGCUAGCAGCAAGUCGAGUUCCAUUCGGCCCUUCACACGAAUUGUUAUCAUUUUCACAAGGCAAUGUGUUUAACGAAACAGUUGAAAAUAUCGAACUGGUAAUGUCUAACGGGACAUCUAUGGGAUGAUCUUCAUUUGCCAAGCUCCGAAGGCUACCGAUAAAUUGGAAGGCCGAAUUUGUGUCAUUCCUAGAAGGAAGAUAAGGUAAAGGAGGAGAUGAAAUUGGAGUGUAAUUUCCAUUGUAUUGUAAUACAGCCGUGGCCGUCGUGUUGUUGAUGAAAUCAAGAUUGACUACAGUGGAAUAAACACUUGAAGCCAUGUAGUAGAGAUUAGGGUUCUGGUUGGCUUGUAACAACACAUCUAGGGUUUGUCCUGGUGAUAUUGUAAUGUAACUGGUUGUUAAUGGAUUAGUGUAAGCACCGUCGGUUCCCACGACUGUGAGAUCGUGAUUUGCGAUGGAGAAGAAAAGCAUUUCGUCCAUUGCAGCAUUAAUUAUGCGGAGAAGAUAAGUUUUGCCUUCAUCCACUGUUAGCGUGAAUGUCUCUGCAAUAUAGAAUAUUAUUAAUUAGUUGUUAGAAGAAUUAUAAAAGCAUUAUUAAUUAGGAUACAUUUUUGGUAAAUUUUCUUCUUUUUUUUUUAUUCCUCUAAUUCAUGUACCGAAAAUCCGAAAUGACUCGGGCGUAUCCAAAAUUAUUUUACUUUAAAAAAAAAUUAAUUAAACCCGAUUACGUGUUAAUUGCAUAUAUACCUGAACUCGAGCAUGGGUAUAAAUCACCAGGUUGACCAUUUAUAGUAAAAGCGUCCGAUGCUGCUGGCAGUCCCCCUGUUCUAAGUAGUUCAUUUCGAACUUCCGUCACACCUUGCUUCCACCACUCUCCUACAUUUUUUUUUUCCCAUAAUGUUUUUAACACUAACUAGAUCAUUAAUUUACGUUCAUUAAGAUUUUUGAUAGUAUUUAUGUGAAAUAAAUUUCGUAAAAUAAACUACCCAAAAUGAUUGGAACUUCCGCAUUGGGUUCAGGAAAAGGAUAGCCAGCAGUUCCAGGCCUCGGCUGUAUAAUGAUAGCUCCAUGUACUGUGGCACGUGACCAUUCACUGUGAGCAUGCCACCAAAGAGUUCCUUCCUCUUCCGAAAAAAUUAUCUUCUGCCUGAAGCUUGCUCCAGGUUUGAUUGGGCACUGUGUUAUGUAUGCAGGACCAUCGGACCACGGAUACCUAGGCUGUCUCACUCCGUGCCUGGACGUGAAAUCAACCCUAGUCUGUUAAGUUUACAAUCGAGCUAAAAGCUUAAGCUCAAAGGUAAAAGCUCAGUAUUUCAUUGGUGAUACAGAAACAACCCCCUUUUUUUUUUUUUUUUUCCUUUUUAUAGUACAAUUAAGUGAAAUAAAAGAGCUAGCUGUACAUAUUUACCAGUGAAUGGUGAUAUUUUCUUUGCCUUCAUUAGAAACCUCGACGAAGAUUGUAUCGCCUGUAAAAACCCUAAUAGUUGGUCCAGGGAAUUGUCCAUUUACGGUCAAGAUAUUCUUUGUGCUGCAUAGCCUUGUAUAUGAAGCCUCCUUUACCUACACAAAAAAUUAAUUAUGCAGUAGUAUAUCCUUAUGCGAAGAAAAAGAAGAAAAAUAUUUAUCGAUAUUCACAUUUCUUAGUUUAUGCGAUUCAAAUUUUAUUUUUUUUUAACAUGCCACUUAAACAUAACCCAAAAAUAAUUAAAAAUUCAGAAUGUUAAAAGUAAUAAUAAUAAAGGUUACAAUAUCGUUAUUAAAAUGGGAAGAAAUGGUCAAUAGCCAAUCGAAUACGAUAUUGCAUAGAUUCCCCGUCCCUCAGGUAUGCAUGAAGCUAGCUAGAGACUGAUCGCUAGAGCAGCGCCUCACAAAAAUGUUUAUUUUUAAUUCGGAUAAUUUAUAUUUUCAAUCCAAAUUAUAGAUUUUUUUUAUUCUCUAGCCCAGCGAACUUUAAGAGUUUUACGUCUUGCCCCAGAAAUACAUACUUUUUAAAUUUUCAGUAUUCGGCCUAAUGCCUGCCUAUAGACCUUUAAUUACCCAUGAGAGUGUGUGACAUUUGGACCCCCGGAUGGAAAGAAACAAAGCCUAUAGAGGCCAAGUCUAAGAACUACAUAUAAAACUCGGGACCAUAAUAGUAAUAAAAAAAGGAAAAUAAACCUUAAUUAGCAUGAGCCAGAGAAUAAAAACCUAUCUCGAGGCAAAAAUGUGAAUAGUUAUUUCUAUCUCUCAAUUGAUUUUGAGUUUUUUUUUUUUUUUGGAAAAGGGGCCGUGGCUGCUUAGGACAUAGCCGGGCUCCAUCCUGGAUGCAUAAAGCUAAAAAUAUAGUAAAGAAGCUCUUGAAAGCAAAAAUAAUUAUAAACAAAGGAAAUAUCUUUAAAAUGUGCAACUAGGAAAUCUAUAGGCAUCUCACAGCAUAUGUAAUUUUGUAAAUCAUGAAUUGCCUCUCUGUGAUAGAAAGAGAAAGUACAGUACUACUCACCACGAAAAGAUAAUCAUUUGAAGCCGAGCGGAGGCUAAACAAGAGCUGAAAGCAGAAUAUUUUUAAGCAGAAGGUUCCAUUGCGAAGACGCAGCAUUAUUCCGAAUUUUGAUAAUAAGAAUACUUUGCUUCUUCAAUUGAUCAAAUGAAAUUUUUUUUUUGGUUCUUAUACAAGUUAGUGAUGAGCAAGAGAAUCAUUUGCUCACGUUAUUAUGAUACUGAUUGCUUAAGGACAGCCGAAAGAACUAAGACAUUCCAAAUAUGUAUAUUGCCCCAAAAAUGCUGAUUGGGACUCAAUUUCUACAAUAAUAUUUUUCAUAAUUGCAUGAUAUUUUCGUUAGCCAAUUGAUAACUUAAAACAAAAAUGACCACUAAUUAAGCUUUAGCAUUUCUUUCAUUUUUGGUUAUUAGCACCCACUCUAAUGUUUUUACCAUGUUUUAUUAUUGUUGUAUCAUUUUUUUCUGUCUUAAAGAAAAAAAAUAGUGAUAUGCAUACUAGUUAUUUCUGAACUGGCUUGGUCAUAUUAGUUUAAAAUUAUGUCAAAAACAUUCAAUAGGGUGGUUAUAUUUAUAGAUAGAGAGAAUAACCUAUAAUUUUAAGAACAAAAUUUUGGAACGAAAGUUUUAAUUAUGCCAAAAUUUCCAUGACGAAUUCUUUAGUAAAUGUCGAGCCAUUAUCUUGCUGUGAAGUAAAAAAAUAAUAUCUAAAUAUAAUAUAGGGAGAUUAUCAUUUUUUCCAUAUUAAAUUAAUAUAUAUCACUUAUCCUUUUACCCCCUAACACAAAAAAUUUAAAGAAAAAGAUGGGUAAAUGGGCCAUUUCUAAUAAUAUUCUUAUUUUCAAAUACAUUUUUAUUUUUAUUUAUUAUAAAUUAAAUAAAUAGAAAUUAAAAUAAAAAAUUGGAAGUAUUAAAAAUAAAAAUAUAUAUAUUUGGAUGUGAAAAAAAUUAAUAAUAAGAUAUUAUAAAAAUGCCCAUUGAUCCCCCUUCUUCUUUAAAAUAUUUGUGUUAGAGUAGUUUUUGGAUAUUAUAAAAAUAGUAGGGGAAUAAGCGGUAUAUUGAUCUCAGUAGAGAAUAAACUGACAAUCUACCUAUAAUUUAAGUAGUAAAUUAAUUUAUUCUAAAGUCCAUUUUUGAUAACCCAGUGCGUGUGUAGUUCGAAUGUGAUGCUCAAAAACUAAUAGAUAGAUGGAUAUAGCAAGCGAUACACACAGAACAAAUCAAUGAUGGCCCAUUAAAUCUAGGAUAUACAUAAUUACUUGUUCAAAAUAAAUUAAAAAUGGUGAGAAACUACAUCAUUGCAUUCAUACAAGUUUUUUUUUUUUAUUACAUUUAAUAAGAAUUAAAAUAAUCUUUGUCCCCUCCUAAAUCGUUUGUGUAAUAAUUUUGUGCUUUUAGGAAUCAUUUCGAAACAAAGAAAAUCUAUAUUUGUCUUAGAGGCCUUUUUAUCAGAAUAUUUUAGUCAAAUUAAAUUUGACUUUGGCUGCAAUGACACAAUUUUUGCUGAAGAGAGGUCCUGCUAUUUUUCAACACCCCUAGUUUUACAGGUGAGCUUUACAGCAAAUUAAAAAGUGGUAGCAGGUAUUAACAAAGAAGAAAACGACUCAAAUCUUAUGAUAGGUUUAUCUAUCCCUUUCUUGGAAUAAUAUUCCAAAAUAAUUUUACUUGUUUAAAACACCCAUAAAAAUGAAAUUAAAUUGCUUAGUUAACAAAGGUUUAACUAGUAAGUAUAUGUAACUAAGUUAUUUCUUUUCUAGUUGGCUUAAGAGAUUAAGAAAUGAUUUUCGUCUGUUGCAUAGGACUUUCUGGCAUCGCUGCAACUACAGCAUUUAUUACGUUGACAAUUGGAUGUUAGUGAAUUCAGAUAUGGGAAACAAUAGCGUAUGAUUAGUUAUCAAUCACUAACUUUGAGCAAAAAGUUGUCGAUCGAUCGUUGUUUUGUUUUAUUCAUUUGCUUUUUAAUGGACAGUAUAAAUUCUUUUCCGAUGAACAAAUAUAGCCAACGUAGUUGAAGAUAAAAGAAUCGUACCCGUUUUUGAAUAACGACAUUGUAGAAAUAUUGAAUGAAGUUGGUUGAAUUUCAACCCUCCAAUUUAUUAGACUUUAUGGUUUACGUAGCUUACAAAAGCAAAUAAUCCAAUAGUGUCCGAAAAGAAUGUAACGUAUGCAAACCAUAUCCUCUAUUACUUAGGAUGCCAGUGAGACGGAAAGGAAUAAUUUGGAAAAAGAGUGAAUGACAUGAAUAUAAAAUAAAACAAAAUUCUCUCAUUUUUCUUCUUUUUUUUUUUUUUGUUGUAAAUCAUCCGGUGUCUUGCGACCGCAUUGGGCCUUGACUAAUCCGGAUUCGGGGUGUAGUCACAGUUAAGGCUCUUUACCCCUCCCAAAUAGUGUGUUUAGUGGGGAUCGAACCUGAGAGCUCUUCCCACAAACUCAGCCUGCGCUGCCAACUGAGCCACAAUCAUUUGGUCUCAUUUUUCAAAGAGACGUACUUAUUUUUUUUUUUUUGUUUGGUUAAGCUUUUUUUCUCUCACUUUUUCUUUGUGCUUUCAAUCGUAGUAUAAAAUUUUAUUUAUUUUCUUAACACUAAAAAAGUUAAAUAAUUAUGUCUAAAUAAAAUUAACAAAUGGAUACAUGUCAUGAUUGAUUGAGUAUAAAAAAAAUGUCCAACAAAAUUGACACCGCUGUCAGCAUUUCCACUUGCAAGCACAUCUGGCACCCACGUCUCUAUUGAAGUUAAAUAAUAUGGAAGAAGAUCAUUAAUUAUUGAAAACCUAAGUAGAGAAGUUUGUAAUCUUAUUCUCAUACGCAUGCAAUCAAAUUCUCAGUUUCCACUAUAAAUAAAGAUUUGGAACUGUUUUAGAUCUCAAAAUAGCAGGCAGUUAAUACGAAGACUUUUGCUGAGUAAAGCCCCAAAUGCAUAGGCUAGCUGUUAUACAUUUGUACACAAGUAAGUUCAAAACAACAGUUUUACACCGCUGAGAUGAAUGUAACAGUUAUGCAUAUCCGAUCGAUGUAAACCUACGAACAGAAAGUAUGUUUAAUCUACAACCUCUUAUGCAAGGAUUGAAACUCUAACAUCAUGCGUGAUUUAAACACUUUGGGACAUUCAAUGAUCGAAUGAGCAAAGCUAUAAGUUUUCUGUAUCUUCAGCUGCGAGGAUUAUUAAACAAUCGAAAGCUUGACUAAAGAUAUAUAAUUAAGCAAGAGAAGAAUAAAUGUAAUAGCUAGCCUGUGCCUACCGGUUUAAGCGGGAACUUCUAGUCUGGGCUGUGGUAUGAGUUUAAAGGUGUCUCCCAUAAUUAGAGUCCUCCUCAAGAUACCUCGUGGUUAAGACCAAAAAAAAAAAAGUCUCCAUUGGCUUCAGAACUUGAAAACGCGUCAAAUGACACCAAAACGAGUGAGUUUGGCUGCCGUUUUGGGAGGAGACGAGAGUUUCCUUUAGUUGUGUUUCUAUUCGUUUUCUUUUAUUCUUAUUAUUAUUAUUAUUAUUAUUUUACUUUUUUAAAUUUGGAAAACUGUUGGAUUGGAACCGAGCAGUAUAAAAACCAAUUGGUUUCAAUUGACAAACUCGAGCCAACUUAAAAAAAAAAAUGUAAAUUUUGAGUUACUCCCUCGUGAAUUAUUGAUAAUCUUUAAAUUGUCCCCUUAUUUUUAAAAAUAUCAAAUUAUCCGUUAAAAGUAGUUAAUUUUAACGAUUGACCGUCAUUAACUUAUUAAAUAUGAAAAUAUCUUUUUUAACAGCCUCGUUAACUAACGGUUUUAAUAUUAAAAAAAUAUUAUUAAAUUGAUAAAAUAAUAAAAAUUACAGACCUUAAGAUCCAAAAAAAAAAAUCUAUCUCUUCUCAAUUUCAUCUUCACUAAAUCAAAAUCACAUUAAACCUAAUUGAGAUACCCAUAAUAUUGGUUGGCAUGGCUACAUGUGGCAAAGGAUUUGGUUGCCUUGACCGCGUGCAGCCAUGGCUUGGUUUCCAUGGUCGCAGGGCACCAGGGAUUUGACUGCCUUGGUUGCACGUGGCCAUGGGUUUGGUUUCCAUGGCAGCGCAUGACCAAGGGUUUGGUAUCCAUUGGGGUAAAAUGAAAAUUUUUAAAGCAUUUGGGGCUUACUAUAAAUAUUUAAAAAUUUUGUGUGUGUUUUAAAAUGUUAGAAAGAUUUAGGCUAUAAAAAUUUGCCUACAUAGCAGCUUGGUCUUUUCCUUCUUAAUUGACUGUUAGGAAAAUGUAUAAAUUUAUUUUACCCUUUUGAUAGUUAAAAAUAAUAGAGAUAACAAUUUUUGAGGGUAUAUUUUCAAGAGUAAGGAAAGCAAUUUAAAUAUUGUUAAUUCACGUAAGGGUAAAUCCAAUAUGAACCUGAAAAAUAAACACCUCAUUUAGUUCAGGAUUGUCAAUCGUGGGACCUAGGUAUCAAAAGUUAUAUAGUCUGUAACUUGAACAUAUUUAAGAGUAAUACGUGGGACUUAAAAGCAAUUAUUUUUAAAUACUUUUUACUUUUUCUUGGUAAAAUAAAUCUAGGAGAACUUUUCGGAAUCUCUGUACAAACAAACUUGUAGGUUAGGGGAAAAAAAAACUAUUAGUAAUCCAAAAAAGAAAACAAAGAAAAUAUAAUUUACAUACAGAUAGCAAAUAUUAUCGUCCAACAUUUUUUCUUAGGUCUUGGGCCACAUUUAAUUAAUAUAUUUCGACUCCUACGUUACUGUUUACCUAAUUUCUUAAUGAUACAUAUUUAUACAGUUAAAUUCUUCGUUGUGUUACAUUUCUCAGUUCUAUUUCAACCCAAUAGGCUAAUACAUGAAAUAAAAUGUGGAGAAAUGUAACAGAAUACACAAGAAAAAUAAAAACAAAUGGGCGAGAUGUCAUGUUCUCCACCGAAUAUCAUAAUGAAUAGUUUUGUUUCAAAUUUGCAAUAACCUCAGCUCUCAAGGACUUCUUAUAAAUGUUGUUAUAUACACCUACCUUCAGGUACAUUCCAUGCAUAUUAUUAUGUAUACGAUUCCUCUAGAGUCUAGAUUGUUAAAUACUAACUAAGCAACAAAUUAUAUCUGUGGGAACCAUACCCAUUAAUAAUAUGGUUCCUUGAAAUACAGCGCAUAAAUAAUGCAACAAAAAGUAAAAAUAAUAACAACAACAUCAAAGGUGAGAGCUGUCAUGGCUUGGUCACUCAGCUCCAUAUUUCUUCCUCCUAAUCGAUCCACCAUGUCCGGAAUUGAUCCGUAGUUCUUCAAUGCUUGAUCAUAAGGAUCUUCAAAUUUCAUUUUUAGCUUCUCAGCUUUUCGGCUUGCAGCUUCUUGAGCAAGUGUCCAGUCAUAAAACCUUCUGCUUUCUUCAUUGCUUAAUACAUCGUAAACUUCCCUUAGCUUUAGGAACUUCUCAGAAGCAGCUUUUAGAGGGAGUGAUGUUGCGUCUGGGUGGUACUCUUUUGAUAAUCUUCUGUAAGCUGAUUUUAUCUCUUCCAAAUCCGCGCUUGGUGAUAUUCCUAAGAACCUGAAUUUUAUAUAUUGACUAUUAAUCGAUACUAGCCAGCUACUUGAGUUCUGAACAUUGAGGCUAACAAUAAUUUUCAAAGAGAACUUAUUACAUUUCGAAUUAACUACAUCUUACAGUUUUUGUUUUUUUUUAAUUUAUUCGGCCGGUUUUGUAAGAAAUCUAUUGUGAAAUUGUGUAAAUCAUCAUAAACUUACUAGUUAUAACUAAUACUGAAUCCUUAAUAAUUUUAAGCUAUUAAGUUGAGAAGUUUCCCUAUCUCAAAUAGAGUAAAUAGCACAUGUACAAAGUUUAUUUCAAAUAUAUAUAUGUACAAUUAUAAAUUAGUAGAAUUUGUGAAUAAAUCACCAACUAUUGGAUGAGCAAUAUCUAUUGAAAAAGUGAAACAAGAAAAUGGAAUAAAAAAUAAUAAUAAUAAAACAAACUUACUGGUAAUGAGAAUCAGAGGAGUUGUUUAAAAGAUCAGCGAACUUCUCACCCAAGAGAUUCUUUUGCUCUUCUUCAGCAUUAAAAUUCUGGUUUGUUUGGUGUGACGAUGAUGAGCUUCCACCAAUCCACCCUUCAUCUUCGUUUUCCCAAUGAAUCCUUGUAUCAACUCCCGGCUGCGCUCUUCGUUGGCUCUUGUUACUGCCAGCCUUUUGCGAUGCAAACACACGCAGAAUUUUGCUUCUUGUCCUUGCUGUUGCCGCUCUGGGCUCCUUUGUCAGCUGCUGCAGGCUGCCGUGUUGGGUUUUGAGAAACAGAGAAUAUGGAGAUUGCGGAGAUACUGUGGAAGCCAUGAACAUGAAUGAGAGGGAAAAGAGAAUUGGUGCCGGCUUCCAUUUUCAAGAUGAGAAGAAAAUUUGUUUUUUUCAGGGCCUCAUGUUUCUGUGUGGCCCAGAAAUUCCGAGGACUUUUCUCUCACAAAUCUUUUGUUUUUAAAUUUUAACUGUGACCUCAUGCCACAUUCACAAAAUUAACAAUUUUGGAGGUUUUAGCAAUUUUCCUCAGAUUGUGUGAUAUAUAAUUUAAAAUGUAAAAUCCAUAAACUCUCUGAAAACCCCCUUGAUAAUUGAUUAAUAAUGACGGUGGCCGGUGGGGACUUGAGUGAAAUAAACAGAAAGCUAGAUGGGACCGUAGUCAUAGUUGCAAAUAAAGUAGGGACCUAUACGUUUUCAUCCUUCCUUUUUUUUUUUUCCAUGAAAUAUCGAAAAUAAUCUAAAUUCAAAAUUACAUUGAGAAAUUGGAAGAAAUCUAAAAACAGGUCCGCUAUCAGCUUGUCUAUUUUGAUGAGUUCUCCAUCUUUCUCUGCCGUGAUAAUUAUAAAAUAUUAUCUUUUACUUUGUUGCAGCCAUAAAUGAUAAAUUUUAGACUUCCCAUCGCUGUUUUGCAGUUGUUCCAUGUUCGCAGAGCAAUAGAGUUUGGGAAUUUUAGUGAUUAUUUGCGUAUGUGAUCAUAAGUCUCGGGCUACUAAUCUUCACAGUUAAAAGCACAAUACAAUUAAUUCUGAAGAUUUUUAAUUCCUAUAUAUAGUCUUUUAAUAUUGUCAUAAGAUUAACGUAGAUUUUUUAAAACUGUAAUCACCAUGGAGUAUAUUAUUGGGCAUGUUCUGAGGGGGGAAAAAAGUGUAACUACAUUUUAUUAAAAUAAGGUUUUUGAAUCUUUCAAGUUCUAUCUUUUAAAUAGUAAUGGAACGAGGGUAGUGGAAUCGAAAUUGAUAAAAUAGAAAACACUAGAUAUUAGUACUAGACUAAGUCAAUGCAAUUAAGUUAUAUUCUAAUUGAAGUGUGAUUAGAUCCCAUUCUAAUUAAACGACUCAAUGAGAUUUUUCAAUAACGAGUAAAGUGAGAUUAGAUGAUGCUCUAAUCCAAACGACUCUACAAGAGUGGUUUCGAUAGAUAAUUCUAGAGGGAAUUAUAAAAAAGAAAUUUUAUUGAAUAACUGAAUUUGAAGUUAUAAUAAUGAGACCUCUCUAUUUAUAAUAGAAAUAAAUCACAAUUAUAAUGAAAAUAAAUUAUUAAAUCACAUACCAUAAUCAAUUCUAAUUAAAAUAUAAAAUAAAAUUAUAGAAUCAUAAAAUACUUAAAAUAACAUCUUACAUCAAAUGGUUUGCCAAUUGCCAAGAAUAAAAAACAUAAAAUGGACAAAAUUAUUUCACUCUUUUCAUUUCUCAAAUGGCUUAAAAGGCGAAUUAUAUAAGAAAUGCACAAAACAAAAUAUAAUCUAACAUCUUCUAAAUUGCUAUGAUUAUUUUUUUAUUUUUUUAGUUUCACGUAUAUGCAUAUCAUAACAACAGUGAUUUUUGCUAUUUUUAUAUACAUGCAUGUCAAACAAUGGUCUGAUCAUAUAUUUCGGCAAAGGUAUCUUGUCCCUUUAAGUGGAAAGUAUUUUAAGACUUUAUCAUGUAACAUGCUUACGGUGCUUAAUUACAUGAUUCACAAGGCACGGGAGAGUAUUAAUAAACUGGAACAACCAAAUUUGUUUAAUGGAGUCGAAUGGAACGGUAUAUAUGUCAUACUUACGAAAAGACGUUAGUCUAGAACCUGAGUAUGUCUGAUGGAAUUGAAUGAGACCAUUUGCAAAUUAAUUAACUCUAAAUUUUAGGCCAUUUCAAUAAAUUUAUGUGUCCAGUUUCAGAAAUCAGAAUACUUGCUGAGAAGAUAGGACUCUUGUCUGGCUAAAUUGAGAGCAAAGGCAUGAUGAUGGCACAGAUUGAAAGCAAUUCAUUGCCACGGACACCUACCCAAUUCCCAAACAUGAUGACAAUACCAAUGACUUCAUAUUAGCUUCAUUUGUCUCUGUCUUCUAUCUUUUGGCCCCAUAUUCUCAAAUUUUAGACCAUGCAUGCUCCGAAAUUAUGGCCUGUCUCCAUCUAAUGACAGUGAUUUCAUCUAUUUUUAAAUUUUUAUUCUUUUCACAAGAACAAGUUGAACGAAAUGAAGGUAGAGAGACACAACUCACGAUUUACGAUGACUUAAUUCAAAUUGUAAUUUGAAUUUGGAUUCAAAAUCUAAGAGACUUGGAACUAAAAAGCAACGACAUUUCAAUGAUUUCAAAACAUAAGGUAAUAAACUCGUAAUUAAUCCAAUUUAUUAGACUUCAAACUAAAACUAUGUGCUUAAUUAAAAACAUCUGUCAACUUAUAAUUUGAUUAUGAUUCGAAAUCUAAACAAAAAGAUUUGCAAAAUAAGUUGUUAACUAGUAAACUAGGAUUAUAUCUGAACAUCAUAACAUCAGUGCCACGCAUCCGAUUCAACCACUCUGCUAAACUAAGAUUACAAUUUAUGUUCGAAAAAAGAAAAACUAAGAUUACAAUCUAAACGCAACAAAGAGAAAAUAUAAACUCAUUAUGAACAAUAUGACAAAGUGGGUAAUUUUUUAGUUGCCCUAGCUUCAGUUUUACCCCAUUACAAAAGAAAUUGAAAAAAAAAAAAAAAAAACAGAACAGCAAUUCAUAGCAUCGUUACAUUACAAGAUUUAACAGUCUGUUACGCCGCAGCCGGAGGAGCCGCCUCCGUCGGAGACUGAGAAGCAGAUUCAUCCUUACGACGGUGAGAUGCAUUCUUGUUAUUAUGCAUCCAAACUUUAAGCACGUGUCUUUUAACACCCACUUCAUUACAAAACUGGUUGAGUGCAACGUCAUCCUGCCUUUGCAUUCGCCACCCUAUUCUCUCGGCAAACUCAAGCAUCUUAUCCUUUUGCUCUUGCGUGAACUUAGUCCUCUGCCUCUUGCUCUUCCCCGUCGCCGGACCCACAGUUCCCGGAGGACACACAUUCAGAUUUACCUCCUCCCUCUCGGGGGUCUCCGACCGUCUGUCAUAUUCGUCAUAACGAUCAACGGCUCCCACUAGCUUGGUAGGGUCCUUGAAUAGCAACAAACGCUUUGGCUGCAGGAGCAGCUGGCCCCGGACUUCUCUUCUGUGGAAGUUACGGUGACAGCCGCAUGCAGCGCACGUGAGGGAGUCAUCAGCACGUGGCAUGAACUCGCAGCAGCCGUCGUUGGCGUGGCCGCCGAUGGAGGCUGCGUGGUUCUUCAUGCACUCUUUGUAGUUGAUUAUGUUUGGUUCUUGUUGUGGAUGCGGAUGUUGGUGUUUGUAAGGAACCAAACUGAGAUCCAUUAUUCAAAGUAAUUGAUCACCUUGUUUGAUUUGUUUAAUGAAGGGGGAUUACAAGGUAUAGUAACUGUAUUUAUGUGAAGUGGAAGGAUAGAGGAGAGAUGGAGAUGAAACAAGCAAAAGUGAGAGAAAGAGCAAGAAUUAAUGUUUGUUUUGUUGUAUAGUAAAUAUUAAUCCUUAUUGUGGGAGGAGCGUGACGUGUAUUUAAGAAAGGACACGAGAGAGAGCAGUGCUAUUUCCCUCCCCCCCCAAUUUGAUUAGAUUAUGAAUUCACGUAUUUAGAACACACCCCAAAGUUAUACCAGUCAGAACAACAAAAUUUGUCAUAGUUAGACGAUAUAUAUAUAUAUAUAUAUAUAAAAGCUAAAAAAAUUAAAUAAAUUAACAGUGUGUACUUCUCCUAACUUUCACUUUAGUAAAUACGAACGUGAUAAAUUGUUUCAUGAAAUUUGUUUUCCAAAAUAAAAAAUUAUUAUCCAAAUCUUAGUAUACAAUGAGUUGAAGAUGGGAAAAAGUUUGGACUAGUGGUUAUCAUCUCUCUAAUCUCUUCUUCAAAUUUCUGGAAAUGUAUUUAAGUUCCACUAGUUUGAUGUAGAGUUUGAUUUCUUUGUAAUUUAUUUGGAGCAUAUUAUUCCUCUUAUGAGAACCAAGUUUUGCAUGCCCUCAUCGCCACUUCAACAAUCAAUACUUAUCUCGCGGUCGUGCUUAGGAAAACUGUUCCUAAAAGGUUUUUAAUAGUAAUAAAUUAGAUUUCUAUUAUUCUUUAUUCUUUCUUUAAAAAAAAAAAAAAAAGGAGUUACGUACUGAUGCAUACACCAAUCUAUUGAGAACUUAAUGUUAAAAUGUGUAUAAGACCGCAUGCACUCCAAAAGUUGACUUGUUCUUGUAGUUAUAAGUUACUCAUUUCAAUUGUAAUUUUCCAAUGUUUCAAAUCUAGAGGUUCAGUUAUAAAUUAAUUUAAGGUGUGAAGUUGCAAGCUUGAUAAGUGACUCGCAAUACAAAUGAGUAUAAGUCCAACCUUAUAUUCUUUAUUGCAAGUGGAACAUGUCCAGUUGUAAGGGACGGACACUGCAUAUUUUAAUGGGUGACUUAUGUUACAUCAAUAAUAUUUUUUUUUUAUUCUUUCAAAAAAAAUAAUAUUUUUUUUUAAUAAACCUCAAGAAAGGUAUAAUUUAUUAAAUGAAAAAAAGAUACAAAGUUCAUUUAAAUGAGACAAAGACAAAAAAAAAAUCUAAUAAAGAAAAUACUAAACCAUAAUGGGGUUAAGAAAAUCGGUGCGUAAGUAUCCUCUGGGAAUCAUCAAGUAUAGGCUUUUUAAUUUCUAAUGAGGGAAAAUCUCACCAUUUGAAAUCGAAGAAAUCGAAACCGAAACCGAUGUUGGUUAAAGUGUCAGUGGCAUCAUUCUCUGUAGAUAUGGGGACAAUGAAAUCGCAUACACUUUAUCAUAGUUAGGCAAUUGAGCCAUCAAGUGCGAGCUGUCAAGGAGAAGAUAAGAUGUCACUUUUUAGUGAAGAAUAAGCAGUCAUCGAAUCACAUUCCAACCACAAUGAAUGCUAGCCCUUAUGGUAAGCAAAUUCGAUAGCACAAAUAAUAGCAUAAAGUUUUGCAUAAAAUGAAGUUUGAUUCCCAAUUGACAUAGUGAAGUAGCCCAGAAAAGUUCCAUGAGGACCUCAAUAAAUAGCGCUACAAGAAGCUGGACCUGGAUUUCCUUUAGAUAGAUCGUCAAUAUUAACUUUGACCCAAGAAAAUAUGAGAGGAUGCCAUAAAAUUGUAGAGAUCUUUGAAGGGGUGCGGAGAGGAUUGUUUAAGUUAAGUAGGUUAUAAAUAGGAAAAGAGUCGCCAACAAAGUGUUGGUUCCACUGGCAAUGGAGUCCCCUUAAGUGGCUUGACUGAGUUUGCUCCCCAGUUCGAGUCGCAGGGAAGUCGCCUUUAUUGGGAGAACCUGUGCCUCCCGGUUCGAGCGGAGACUUCUAGUCUGGGUUGUGGUACGGGCUUAAAGGUGUCUCCCACAGUUGGGGCUCUUCCCUUGAUACCUCGUGGAUAAGACCAAAAAAAAAAAAAAUAGGAAAAGAGUCGGGAAGACCUACAAAGCCUGAGCAUAGCUUACUCAAGUAAGAGAUAUAUCUCAAACAUUGAUGCUUAAUACGUGCAAUUAAAGGAUGAAUAUUUUCAAAUUUUAGUUUAACACAUCAAUAACAUGAAUUUUGUUUGAUGUUGUAUAAUUAGUCAUAACUUUAAUUCACUUUAUUAAUUAUUUAAUAUAGAGUCUUUCUUUUCUAGUAGGCAUUCAAAUUCAAAUUGUCAGCUAAGGGUAUAAAUAAAUUGAUAGAGUCUCAUGAUUGAACCAGUGGCGAUUUCAGAUAGUUGAUGGAGAUAUCAAAAUCCAAAUAUUUCUACUCAAAUUUAAUGGACAAUGAAACUCUAAAAACUUAGUGUAUGCGUGUAUAGUGAGUAAUGUUGCAUUUACCACUAUCAUUCAAAAGGUUUUCUGAUUUCUUAGUAAUUUGAUUAUCAAUUUGUCAUGAUAGGUAUUGUGUUUAUAACAUGUUUUUUAUUUUCUUAAACAAAUGUAGUUAGUUAAUAAAUCAUAUAUCACGUAAUUAACACAAUUCGGAUACAUCGAUUGAAUAACAUCUCGAACAAUGGUUCUGAUAAUACUUUAAAAAUAAAUGAUGUUUGUUUGGGUUCAAAUCAAAAAACGUAUGUAUUAUAUUACCAAUCAUUAAAAAAAUAAAAAAAAAAAUUAAUUUGAAUACCACGCAAUAUCAAUGCUCUAUAAAUGAAAUCCAAACAACUUGUUAAAAUUUUUUCGUAGAUGUGAAAAUUGAAAUUAUUUCACCCAAUCUUUCGUAUGCCAAAAAAUUUAUAUAUAUAUAUAUAUAUAGAUUCAAUUUCCGUUGGGGACAAUGCAACAACCAGCGGCUCUUUCAAGUUUCCGACCCUCAGCAAUCAGCGCAUGAGUUGCAAAUUCCAAAAAAGAACCAGUCCGUAGGACCCACAAGAGAGAAUGUGUCGAAUGUCGAUAACCCGCUGGAAUGCUAAUCACUGUACUCUAACCCCAUCUUGUGAGAGGUCGAUAUCUCAUUCCCAGGGACGGGGGACCCACCCACGUGGAUUCAGAGACAACGGUCAGAGGAUCGGACGGCUCAGAAAUCCUGACUACCUGAUCUUCAGGAGUAUGGGCAAAUAUCUGCAUCAGCUGCUGCUGAUAGGCUGGAUCUGGAUUUGAUUGAUUGAUUGGCUUCGGGCUUCCUCCUUUUUUUUUUUUUUUUUUAUAACACGUCACGCUUCUAACGCCAUGCUAUGUGGGUCCCGCAGUACGAUUAAAAUUUUUUUAAAAAGCUCCAUCAGAUUCAGGCCGAUCACAACCGUCCAUUAGGAUUACUGACACAUCUUCUGACACACGUAAUGGGGCUUUAACCCAUUAAUUUUUUAUUCAAUAAUUGUCUAAUCGGCUGCAGAACAUAACAUUUUAACUCAAUGCAAUAGCAACUAGCAAAGAUACUGAAAACUUUUUUUUUUUUUUUUUUUUUUAAUGAGGCAAGACACUGUAACUUUGAAUGUGACUAACGAGUUUUUACAAUAUAUUUUAAGUAUUGCUUUUAUGAUACAAGUAUGCUGUGUUCUUAUUAUAGACAGACGGAGGGGGAAAAUAAAUAGUUCGGUGUAUUUACUUUUUAUAUUAAGAAAUUAAAAUUAUUAACAACGUUUGCUUCGUAAGUUGAGAAUGGAAAUUAGAAUUGAAAUGGUGACACUCAUCUUAAUUUAAAAAUGAAGAAUAAGAAAUUGAUCUUCAAAGACGUGGGAAUCAGCCUCACUUUCCUAUAAACACAAUUUUACCCAUAUCAGCAUUUUGAUAUUCCAAAAUACUCUCCUUUAAAUAAAAAAUUUAAUAAAAAAAAUUCGCAACCGAACCUCCAUCUUAGCCGAACCAAAAUCAAGCGCAGUCAUCAUCGUUGUUGAUCCGUCGGUUGUGAAAUAACAGUUGGUUGCCGGUUUUGUCUCAAUUUGAUUUGUCUCCAUUUCGUCUCCGAUGGCCAUGGUUCCAAUCUAAUGAUAAUAAUGAUGAUCCCAAUUUUGAUUAUUACUAUUAUUAUUACUUUUUGAAAUGGAUUAUUAUUAUUAUUAGUAGUAUUAUAUUAAUGAUAAAAAGCAUCAUCAUCAUCAUCAUCCUACUACUACUACUACUACUACUACUACUAAUAAUAAUAAUUGAAUAAUAAUAAGCACAAUAAUUAAAAUAAAAAUAGUAAUUAUAACAAUAAUUAAUUAAGAAUUUUGUAAUAAUUUAUAACAAUCUAACUCAUUUCGAUUCAAAUUCCAAAACAACAUAAACACAUUAAUAAAAAUAGAGUUCAUUCCAAUUUUGAUUUUUAUAGCUCAAGUAAACAAUUUAUUCUGAGUUCGAUUCCACCUCUUUCCGUUCCCGCUAAUUAAAUGCAACAGUAGGAUUUUCUCAAAGUUUCUUACAAAUAAUCUUUUCAAUGAUGCGAAAAAUACAUACUGACUUCGAGCGAAUGGCUGAAUUAACCAAUAACAUGACCACCUUGUUUAUCCUCCAUGAACUAAUAAUACAUACAGACUUCAAACCCUUCAAACAUUUGAUUAUUAGAUGGUUCCUAGCCCCUUCAAUAUAACUUGUAGAAUAUACUUUUCUAAACAUAUAGAUAUAAAGUUUUUCGAAAUAAUAGAACCUCAACGGGGAAAAAGAUACCCUACAUCGAGCAAAACCAUUAAAUAAAAAACGAAAAAUCUCAGAAUACAAAUACUUUAAUUACAGAGCUAAAACCCCCAUACACAAGUUACAUAAAUAACAGAGGUAGAUGGGCCAAGGAUGGACAGAUCAUAGCAGAGAAAAUUCUACAAGCAAGUUCGUGCAAAAAUAUAUUAGGGAGAGCACCUUUCAAUAUGAUUUCCAUUUCACUUGGCUCAAACAAUUAUAAUACCAUUCUCCUUAAUGGUAUCAAGAACAAUCCCAAGCUUACCUCCAAUCCGCUCACCUUUUCUGGGUUCAUAAGACAUUGCAUAUACAUCAGCAUCCUUUGAUCGCUCAGCAAUUAGCUUCCCUAUAAUUCGGCAUGCAUUGUGAUCAGUGAGAGAUGGUAGAGUGUUUCUGAGAUCCUUGGCAUUUGUGGUAGCAACUGAUAUAACUUUACUUGUUGAGCGGUGCAUCACUUUAGCAUGAACGAAUUUCUUAGAAAAGAAAACAUUAAGUAAAAAUGGCCGCAUGUACAUAUCUGUCCUCUGCUUCCAUGAUUUCCUGUUAGGUCUCUUAUCAAGUUCACCCCGAGACCUCCGCGUCCAAGCAGCUUGAAUAAAAGAAUCCUAAAAAUAUUCGGAAAUAAAGGAUCAGUUACCUUUCUUUUUUAAUCAAGAGAUGCUAGCAUUGAUUUAUAACUUAUCACUGUUAAUAAAUGCCAACUAACUAGCUAGUCCAAUCUCUUGGCAUCUUGCUAUUCUUUUCUAUUAACGCUAUAAAAGAGAAACAACAGUAAAGCAGAGGUCCACAAGGGAAUAAAAAGCAGCCAGGGUAAAAUCUAUUGGCAUCAGUACCAAAGACCUGAAAUCAAAUAUUGCCAUCACCAAGGAUUGGAAGGUCAAUGAUUGAAGAAUCCCAAGCCAUGGGGGUUUUCCAUGUCUACAAACUCAAUAAUACAUUUUAAUUGUUUCUGGAGAAUUUCCAAGCAAAUUAUAUCUUGAACAGAUCUAUCUGAAAUCAGGACAACUGAAAUUUGUAGUUGGCAAAAGUUUGAGCACUAAUGCAAAUUGCAAUCACAGAUAAGUUCUCUAUUAACAAAUAACAAUAAAUCACAAGAAAAGAAGUCCUCACAUCAAGCUAAACUUAAAGGGAUGAUCAAAUGAAACUUCAAGGGUGAUAAUUAUUUAUGUCAGAGUGCAUAAUUAAAUCUUCCAAGAGAGAAUGACUAGACUAUUAAGCCUUAUGCAUGGAUAUAGAAAGUUCCGAGUUCCCUUACUGCAGGCAAAAAAUGAAUGCUGUGUGCAAGGAAUUCAAAGGACCACAUCAGACUCUCUAAAGAUCCAAUUCAAGUGCCUAUGCUCUAUGUUUCAAUCCCACAAUAAAACAGCUGAUGCUUAAUGUCAUAAUUACAAAAAAUAAAUAAAUAAGCAAAAAUAAAAUUAAAAAUGAAAAAUGAAAAAAGGGUGUUUGCAAAUUCUUAACAGUCCAGGAGGAGGUGGUUUCUCAGCAUAAUGGAAAUAGAAAAGAGCAACCAUUUAUGACAUUUUAAAACAAGACAAGAUCAAGCUAUGUUUCAAAAUAGUAAGCCUGAGUAAUUUUUCUUUUUUUUCGAAGCCUUCAGCAGUUGAAGCUUCUUGAAUGAGUUAGAUAGUUUCCCAUACGUGUCAAAGCUAGCAGAGGCCUACUCUCAAUGUCUGGGUUAUAAAAGCAAAACAUCAGGUUUUGAUGAACUCAGGGAUCCCAGAAACAACUACUUUACUCAGAGCAAAACAAGCAAAGUGGGAAGCAGAAUAGACAAAGGGGUCAGACCUGCCAAAUAGCUCACCCUCCUACCAUACCAAAAUCCAUAGAUAACUCCAAUGUAGGCACAAUAGCAAGAAUAUAGAACCUCGAUAUGAGCUUUCACAGACAUGCCUAGAGACGCUACCAUUGUCAGUUCCCCACUCUCCCAUCAAUCUAAGGCAUGUUGAUGCCUUGCAACUUUAUAAUUCUAAACCUCAAUCAUGAAAUGCAAGGAACUCUAAAUGUUACUUUGCUUGUUCAACAUAUAAUUGAUUAUGCUAUUGUUAGCCACUACCAUUAAUAAAAUAUCAAAAAAAGAAAAAAGAAAAAAGAAAAAAAGUGAAGAAACUUGAUAUCUCCAUUCUGCUAAUGAAAUUACCCUCAGGAGCCAAGCUUGUGCAGCACAUAUUUUCUUGUCCAUGGCCACUUGCCGCAUACCACCCAAGCCAUGAAACAUUAGUUAGGAGUAGGUUAUAAGUAUAUGGGAAGUUUAGCAAUUUCCAUUUUCUUGAAACUUCACAAUGUAAUGGCUCAAGCUUUUGGUUUAAAAAUGACUUGCAAGCCUCUUUAGUUAUUGACCUAUUCAACCCAUAUUAGCUAAUUUCACGUAAACUACUGACUAUGAAGAUAUUUAACUUCGCAACUAAAGACAAUAAAGAAAUCUAAAAUAUUGAUAUUGAAAAAAUUUAAUUAAUUCCCCCAUCAUAUUUAAAUGCUUAAAUAGUACAAAUUUUAAUAACAACUUGAUUUUUCAAUUCAGUCAAUAAUAUUAACCACGAAAUUAUACUCAAUUAUGCAUUUUUCAAAGCAACAAAUAAGGAGGGAUUAAGUUGACAUUCCCAUUUCUAGCUAAUCAAAGUAGCAUAAGUUUCUAUCAAAAUGUUAUCUUUCUUUUAUUUUUCCUGGAAUCCAAAACAGAAGAUAUUAAAGGGGUAAGAAAAAGUGCGGACCUUUCUGUUAGUGGGAGUUGGAGGGCGAGUGAUUGAGCCGAUGGAGAUGCUGAUAGCGGGAAAUGAAGAGGCCCAUGAUAGAGAAGUGAGUUUAUCCGAACGAGUUGAGCGAAUCAAGCGUGUUGACUCAGGGGAGAUGUGUGAAGAAGAAGAUGAUAUGAUGCAGGCCGCCAUUAGUUUUGGGCUUCUCUAGCGGCAAGCGUCUCCACCUCUUCAGGCUUGUACGUUUGGAUGAGCGUUUUGUUUUGUUUUUCAUGUUUUAAUUUAAAAAAAAAUCAUUAAAAAAUUAAAAUUGUUCUUUCUAAUUACCUAAAAGAUUAAAAAAAUAGUUAUUUAUAUUUAUUUAAUUAAGAAUUGAUUUUAGCGUACAAUGUUGGUUGUGAAAAAAAAAAAAUCUUUUUUAUACAUUUGCCAAAGACAUUAUCUUUUUUAUCACUCAAGUCGAUUCUAAUUUAUAAAUCAGUUUAUCUUUAUAUUUAUUUUUACGUACAUAAACAUAUGUAAUAAAUUCAAUCAUCUCUUGAAAUAUAAAUUGAUUAUUUUUUUAAAAUUAUUUAUGAAUGCUUAUAAUAAAUAUCUCUUAUUUAUUAUUUUGGUAUUAGUUUUUUUUUAAUAAUGUUGUUGUCGUUGAUGUUUUUUUCUUUCCUUUUUUUGGUUAUUAUUAUCAUUAUUAUUUACAAUAAAAGAGUAAACACAUUUCGCAUCGGUCCUCACCUCAUUACGAUUUAUGGGCCUCGAACAAUAACCAUUAUUUUUUUAAAAGGCCCAGAUAGGUCCUCUCCUUUUGUGUCCAUCGCAAUUCAAUUUCAACAUCACAACCACGAGAGACCAGUUAAGCGAUUGAAAAGGAAAAGGAAAAGGAAACCAAAUAGACUCCCACUUUUAUCAAAAAAUGGUCGCUUUAAGCCCGUUGUCUCGACUCUCGUGGUCUUCCACUUAGAAUUUCCUUUUUCUUUAUAAACUACGUAAAUUUCACACAAGUCUCCCAUAUUUCGUUUAAAUACAAUGGAGCCUUAAAUGAUUCAAAUUUCAUCACCCCAUCUUAUAUGUAAUAAGCUAAUCACAUAAAUCCAACGAUAUUUUUUUUUAAAAUAUUUGAAAACUUAUUGCUUGCUAAGUUUCUUUCAAUUGUUAAUUUCUAUGGUUGAAAAAUGAAAAUGUCAUGAUCAUAACGGGAAAUAUAUUUUGUGAAAAACAACAUUUUAUACAUGUGAAAAAAUAAGAAAAAUUAUUAUAAUCUUUUCUUUUAAAAAAAAAUCUCAUAUCUAUUCAAAAAAAGUGUCGCAUAGUAUCAAGAUAUGGAUUAUAAUCGUAUUUACUUAUAACCAAAAAGGAAUUUAAGUGACACUUUUAAAAACUUAUGUAAUGUUUGAAGCUCGUAUGUAAUUAAGAGAAAUAGAAUAUACCUCAAUGAAAUUUGGUUUUUCCAAAAGUUUUCAACAUCCGUGUGGUUGGUAAACGAGUGUGUGUCCGUCCCACUAACAAAGCUGGCGCUUUAAUUCUCCAACAAUCGAAAUCCUUUUCUCUUCCUCUUCAGUUGCACAUUCCAUAUUCACUCCCACUCAGUCAGACUCACUUACUUCAAGCUGGCAACAGAAACAGUCACGCGCCUCGGAUCAGAAGUCACGUGCUGCAGUUAAUUCCUUCAACCUCAAAAUCAGAAAAUUAAAAAUCACUCUUUCCGUUCAAUGUACUUCAAACACAAAUAAAAUUUCAUUCAAUUCUUCUUCAGAUCCUCACCAUUCCCUAGGGUUUCGUAAUUUGUAACUUUUAAUUAUCUGUAAUUCAUUUCGGUUCCUUCACUUACUUACUUGCAUCAUGCACGGACUAAGCCGCCUCGGCUCCGCCCGCUCCACCACGUCAUCUCCGCCGUCCUCCCCCCGCUUCCGCCACGGCCGUAACAAGAACAUAGCCGGAAGUCGUGUCGGCAGCGGAGGAGGAAAGCAGAAUUUAGUUGAGAAACUGGUAGUCGUUUUGAUAUCGGCCGUGUUUAAACGCAAAGGCGUGUUGUUAGUGGCGCCGUUGUUGUACAUAUCAGUAAUGUUACUGUACAUGAGCUCGUUCGGCUUCGAUGUUGUGGAUUUGAAGAGUGUUGUUGUUGUGCGUGAGCGUGCGCCGCCUGGCUCCGUGUACAGAAGUCCUCAGGUUUUUCAAAAGCUUUGGCCGUUUAUGCAAGCGGAAGCUAUUGCUAACAAUACGGUACAGUUAUAAGCUUCAUGCAAUUUUUUUUUCCUUUUUUUCAUUGUUAUUUAUUUUCCUUAAGUUCAUUUCUUGCAUGUUAAUGUACAGCUGAAGUAGAUUUGACUGAAAUUAAAAAUGCUCAAAUCAAAAUCAUGCAGUUGAUGACAGCGUGGAAUUCGAAAGUGCACCAACCCUGGAAGCCUUGCGCCGACAGGAGUAAUUCGAAUGCAGGUUCAAAAUUUUAUCUGUUUUUCAAUGUCGUUUCUUCACCGCCGCCUCAAUGUCGUUUCUUCACCGCCGCCCCGCCCCCCCCCCCCCCCCCCCCCCCCAAAAAAAUCGUCGAAACAAUAGUAUUGGAGUACUAGUAUUACCUUAUGCUUGAGAGGCUGCAAGAAGCUAACUGCUGUUUUAUGUUUUGAGAUUCUCAGAAUUGCCAAAAUCAAAUGGUUUCCUUAUAAUUGAAGCUAAUGGUGGGUUGAACCAGCAACGCUUGUCGGUAUGUUUUGGCUCUAGCAUAAAAAUUGUUCUCUUGAUUCUAUCAGUUGUAAGGAAAUUGCAGCAUGUUCUUAUAUGCAUGCUACCAAAAUUAUGUAUUAGAGAAUGUAGUUGCAUAUGGUUUGAUUUGUUACAAUGUGGUUCUCGCCAUUCACUAGAAUAUGAUCAAGAUGCAUGGGAUGGUGUAUUAGAUAAUAUACUUAAUAUUGUCCUAGAUGGACAUUUUGGGGCUUAUUUUUGGAACUUUGAGAUUUGACUUCAUCUUUUUCUGGUUGUUCCUUAUGGAUUGUCAGAAUAAGGCAUCAGUCAUCUAGAUUCAUUUAUUACAGUAGGCAUAUCCUUCGAAACUAGCAUUUACCAAUUAAUUGUUGCAUGAAGAAUGGGAAUGAUUGGAUUUUGGAUGCAUCUUGAAAUGACUGCUAAACUAUUUUUGCUAAGAUUUUCUUACUGCACUCGUCCCUGUUGCUUUCCUCUUUCCUCUUUCUCUUGGUAAAAUUAUUUGGGUUUUGAUGUUGAAUAAGUUAUAGCUAUAAGACACUUCAUUUUGUGUUGCAUGAGCGUGGUUGUUUAUUACUAACUUUCCAUAAGAAAAUAUCCAUUAAUUGAUCUAAAUAUUAAAUUUACACUUGGUGCAUAUUGUUACAUUUUAAAUAUACAUUGCGAACUAUAGGCUUGGUGUAUAUUGUUACGUUUUAAAAAUAUAUUGCUAGUUAUGGGAAUGUUGUUGCAACAAUAGGGCCAGAUACGGCCUGCCAAUGAUACAAACUCAACAUUCUAUGCCUUGAUAAUAGGGGUGUCAACCUUUAAAUUACAUCUUUGGUGUGUAACUUUUCUCUGUUUUAUUUAUUUGUUUAUUUACAGAUAUGUGAUGCGGUAGCAGUGGCAGGACUACUGAAUGCAACGCUUGUCAUUCCAAUUUUUCAUUUAAAUAGUGUAUGGCGAGAUUCCAGGUGAUUAUUGAUACUGUUAUUCUAAGACCUUAAGUCCUUAACCUCUUUUGUAUCUCAUUCUUUCCUCAGAAAAAUAUAAUUCUUAGUUUCUUCUCAAACGUUGUUUUUUCAAACUACAAAAAGAUGAGGGCCAAAAUGAUGCUUUAGUGUUUUGAAAAGAUGGAGCAGUUAUGGAGCAGUGCUUGUCCUCUUAAUGUAAAAAAUAUCACUUAUUUUCUCUCAUAAUUUACUCCUUUAAGCCAUAUUUCUUAAACACAUAUAUAUUUAAUUUUUUUCCUUUGAAUUGCAAGAUUUUUUAGUUUGACUUUAUUCCUUACAUUUUUCCUUUUUCUGAACAAUUUGAAAUUUUUGCAGCAAUUUUGGGGAUAUAUUUGAUGAAGAUUUUUUCAUGCAUGCACUUAGAAGUAAUGUGAAUGUUGUCAAGGAACUCCCGGAGGAUAUACUUCAACAGUUUGACCACAAUAUAAGCAGCAUCGUGAAUUUGAGAGUAAAAGGAUGGUCCAGCCCAACCCAUUAUCUGCAAAAGGUCCUGCCAAAGCUGCAGCAUCUGGGGUAUGCAUUCUUAACUCCAAAUGUUUUAAAUUGAUCAAUACUCUCCAAGAAGAAGCUAAAUUAUUGGGGAUUUUUCUUUGAACAUCCCUUAUUGCAAUGACAAUAUCAUUUCCCUACCAAAUCAAUUUAAAUUGCGUGUUUAUAUUUGAGAAGCCAAAUAUUGGAUUGUUAUUAUCAUUUAACAUUUAUUGGAAAAAGAAAAAUGUUUAGGGUCAUUUUUAGCACCAUGAAUCGUCUGAUUGCUGAUUUCAAGUAGAUCAUUAUGGUAAGCUCUGCCAUGCUAUAGAGUUUUUGGAAUUGUUAGUCAUAUUUAUGGCCCUUUAUUGUUUACAGUGGUUACAACACAAAGUUGUUAACCAUGGAUCAAAAAUUUGUUGACGGUUGGAAUUGUGUGCGUAAAAUUCAAUCUUCAAUCCACUUGCAAUAAUUUGGGGUUGAACCUUAUUUCUAAAUAGUUUUGUUAAUGGAAGUUUAUCUCAUUUCUUUUCAACAAACAUACAAAUCCAAAGCUUAUAGCCUCAUUUCAUGAUGCAGGGCUGUGCGAAUUGCACCUUUCUCCAACAGACUGGCUCAGGGUGUUCCUUCAAAUAUUCAGGGACUUAGAUGCUUAGCCAAUUUUGAAGCACUUAGGUUUUCCGAACCUAUAAGAAUGCUUGCCGAGAAAAUGGUUGAUCGAAUGGUUAAGAAUAGCUCUCAGAGUGGUGGAAAAUAUGUUUCAGUUCAUCUUCGAUUUGAAACGGUACUAUACCUUUUCGAUUUGCUACCAUGGAAAGAUUGUGGGUUAUUUUAUUUCCUCCUAUUGCUGUAUCCUUUAUCAUUUCUGAGUGUCAGUUUCCUUUUCUCUCAAGGAUAUGGUUGCAUUUUCUUGCUGUGAAUAUGAUGGUGGGGAGGAAGAGAAACGUGAAAUGGAUAUUGCUCGAGAAAGAAGUUGGAGGGGGAAAUUCAGGAAAAGAGGACGAGUAAUAAGACCGGGUGCAAAUCGUGUGGAUGGAAAAUGUCCUUUAACGCCAUUGGAGGUGCUAAACUGCAUUGAACUCUCUGCCCUUCCAUCUAUCAAUCUACUUUUUAACAAAUUUAUUUUGAUUUGGUUUCUUGUAAAAUAUGAAUAUCUACUUCUGAAACUAUGUUUCGUCUUAUUAAAGAACAAAUUCCUCAAAUGUUGUGCAAACACAUUGCAGUUCCUUGUUAUAAUAACUGGAUAAAUUAAAUGUUUAAUAAAAUCAAAAUGCUUGGAUUCUUUUGAAUGCUCCGUCUUCAUGGUAUUUGGUUCUCCAGGUAGGAAUGAUGCUUAGGGGCAUGGGUUUUGAUAACACCACCUCAGUAUAUGUUGCAGCAGGUAAGAUUUAUAAAGCUGAAAAGUACGUGGCACCACUUAGGCAGAUGUUUCCACGCUUAGAAACAAAGGACACUCUAGCUACUCCAGAAGAACUUGCUGCAUUUAAGGUAUCAUAUUGCCAUAUUGGUGGUCUGUGAUCUUUAAAUUGAUUUAAAGAAUAAAAAUAACAAUGCUAGGAACUUCUCGUUUGUAAUACUCGAAGGUUCUUAUAUGUAGGGCCACUCGUCUAGAUUGGCUGCUCUUGACUAUACAGUUUGCCUUCACAGUGAAGUAUUUGUCACAACACAAGGUGGAAAUUUUCCCCACUUCUUAAUGGGUCAUAGGCGCUACUUAUAUGGAGGACAUGCGAAGACAAUUAAGCCUGAUAAGAGAAAAUUAGCUCUGUUAUUUGAUAGGCCAAAUAUCAGGUACAUUGCUAUUCAACUCCUGCAAUUUUAAAUUUUCACUUCUGAGUCAUUCGCGACACUACUUGAUUUGAGCAAGGGAGAAAUCUUGUUUGCAAAAAGAUUGUGCUAAAAAACUCAUCAAAAUUUCAUUUUGGUGCUUGCCAAUGCCAAUCUUACAGCUGAUCUUUCUCAUUCCAUAUUUGUAACAUGGGGUAGGACCAAUUGUUGAACCAUUGGAUCAAUGUGCAAACGGUUGAGAUUAAAUCUGACAUAUCUAAUUAAUGCAUAGUAAUGCACCUUAUUUUACGUACACUUGAGAUUUAAUUCAACCAGUGUAAAAUGUUAUGUCUCCUUGAUCCAAACCUUAUGUAUGUGGAUCUAGUAGCUUUUCGUGACAGCAAUUUUGUAGUUUAAUGAUAUUUUUUAUCUACAUCUGGCCAGAUGGGAUGAUUUCAAGCGACAAAUGAAAGAUAUGCUUUCUCACAGUGAUGUGAAGGGAAGUGAGUUAAGGAAACCGAGUGCAUCGCUUUACACAUUUCCCAUGCCAGAUUGCAUGUGUAAACAACCAGAAGCUUCAAAUGACACGGUAACACUAAGAAACUAACUUCAUAAUACGGAUAUUGAUUAAAGAAAUUGUCACUAGGGUUAGAAAUUUUUAUUUAUCUGUAACUUAUGAAGCAUGAUUCAACUAAACUCUAAUUAAAUUCUUUUGUUGUAGUGAUGGGAGUGAAAUUAGGUUAUACUUCUUUGAAAUUGAUUGACUAAGCUACAAUUUGUAGUUUGCCACUCGAAAUUCAUUGUAUAUGAUUCAAUUGAUGUGAGUAAAAUUUUAUUUGGACUGUGUAUUCUAUGAUACAUCUUGUUCUUAGUGGCUUAUGACCAUCAACGACCACAUCGAUAGAAAGUCGAAAACUAUGGGGAGUGGAGAUAAUUCAGUAGAUUGGACCUUUUUUUUUUCAUUGUGCGGUGUUCCUUAUCCGAAGUUCCAUUUGUCAUUUGUGUUUUGAAAGAAUAUAAAAUCAUGGGUGCAAGUUUGUCCAUUGAGUACACAUUGACAAUGAUGCCCUUGAAAUAGAGCACCAGUUUUAAGUAGCUCAUGCCUUUGGUGAGGACGGAUGGGGAAAAACUAUGCCCCCAGGAAUUUCCUUAAUUGAUAAAUCUAAUGAAAGAUCAACUUGCAUAAGAGUGGGUUAUUUGCAAAUUGCAAGGGUAGAAGGCGUUUGCGAUUCUGAAGAAUGCUUUCUACUUUUGGAAAUGAAAAUCCACCUAAAUAAUAUUGUCUGUAAUAUUUUGUAAAACUUGUUUUUCAGAAUAGAAAACUGUUAAACAUGUUCACAAAAAAUUAUAACAUGGAAACUGAAAUCAAGAAAGAUUGGUUCUCUAUGGGACGGCAUGUUUGGGAAAAAGAAGAAACGUGUACACAAAUUUCGUUCAAUUUUUUGAGUUGUUAUACUUGAUUUUCCAAAAAUCAUUCAGAGCUAAAUAUUAGUAGCUCAAAUUUCGUGUACAAGUUGAUGUGUGAUCAAGUAUUAUUGAAUAAAAAAUAACAUGAAGAGUAACUUCUACCACAAAAAUAUGUGAUAAAUUGUUAUAGCAUAAGAAAAAUCAAGAAGAUUAUUUUCCAAUUUCAAACAUUAUCUCUAUUCAACAUAUGGACAAAAGAGAGCCCAAAAGAGAGAGUCGGGGAAAAAAAAAGACAAAAUAAAGCCCAAAAAUGUGACGUAAAAUCAAGAAUACAACAGAUGUAUUCUAGAAUUUAUGCACCAGUAGAUAGAUGGAAGAAGCUACCUACCUACCCAAAUCAAUAUUCAAUGAUUCAAUCUAUCUCUCUCUCUUCUCUUCCCUCUCCUAAUCUCAAAUCAAACCACCUGUGAAAUGUAUGUAUGCGUGUAUACAUGUAUAAUUUAAUGUCUACCAACUUGGUCAAAAUCUCAUAACGAUCGAGUCUCUUGCCUUCUCUCUCUCUCUCUCUCUCUCUCUCUCUCUCUCUCUCUCUUCAGAUAAAUGACAAGUCCCCAUCUCUCGUGUUAAAAAAACUCUUUUACAAAACGAACCGAACCCAUCUCUCUUUUU
Molecule: long non-coding RNA, 36578 nt
Filed under: Citrus maxima (pomelo)
Lineage: Eukaryota; Viridiplantae; Streptophyta; Magnoliopsida; Sapindales; Rutaceae
Description: long non-coding RNA (CMAX_LNC001600)
Source: RNAcentral